UGUGAAAGAACUUGAAAUCUAGGACUGUUAAUUUUCUACCACCCUAAAAUGUCAAAAUUCUCAUCAUCGUCUUCAACAUCUUCACUCAAAUGCCUAUAAAGCUCUGAUUUGUUUUCUCCGUACCCAGCAAUGGACUUCAACUUCUUAUACUUGCUCUUCAACAUUGUUUUCAACCUUUGUGAUGGAUUCUCAACCUGAAUUUCACUUGAAGA
This 212-nucleotide unclassified non-coding RNA is filed under the name Hevea brasiliensis (rubber tree). The record is from RNAcentral. Lineage: Eukaryota; Viridiplantae; Streptophyta; Magnoliopsida; Malpighiales; Euphorbiaceae.